AAUUAUUCGUGUCGGACGCUACAAAAUUGCGCUUCUGAAAUUUUAGUCCUUUAGUUGGCUCUGGUUUUCACCAACUUCGCUGAUUGCGGCGGCCGGCGGUUGUUUAUGGCUUGAGCUGAAACUUUACGAUUUUUUUUUCCGAAGGGAUUCUUGCCUCGGCCUGGUCUUCGUGGAAAAUCAGAUUUGUUUGAAGCUAUUCUCGGUCAGUAAUUCAAGGAAGAUAAUUUGACUUCAUCCGUCUGGUGAGAGCGGAAAAAUUUUCGAGGUGUUAUCUGCUGGGAGUCGACUGACCUCUCAAUGAGUCGGUAUUGUUCCCAACAGUGCUCUCUGGCGGAGUUUUGUCUAUCCACUCUGAUGAAUGCCCGACUUACCUAGCCCAAGUGGUAGCAUAAUUGCACAUAAAUUCUUACAUUUGCUUGGUGAGAUGGAUUGUAGGCAGGAUAACGGUUUUUCACAUGUGGUUUCCUGGUGUAAAAAAAUCACGGGUGCAAAAUACCGGAAAAAGAUUUAUCCGGCACUUAAACCAAAGACUGAGUAUCUGUUUGAUCUACGAGAUUCGGUGAAGGAAGAAAUGAUCAAAGAAUUAAUGGUUGGGACAAAGCGAACAAAAGAAUUUCGAGAAUGGCUGAUCAAGGUGAGCGAGUUUGAAAUUAAUGCAAGAGAAUUACUGCAGUUUCAUGAGAAGACUUCGGAUAACUUGAGGUUUUCCAAGAAACGACCACAUGCUGAUUUGAUGAAUGUGCUUGAUGAAAUCACCCGUCUCUUGGAGAGUUCUCCGUUGCAAAGGGCAACUAGAACAAGGAGUUCUUCAAUGAUUGAGGGCAAGAGCUUUGGACUUGCUGAAAGAACUUCAAAUGCUUACUUGAGGAGCAAAACUGAAGAUCCCCUUGACAAGUAUCUAGAAGAUGGAAGAUCUUGUGCUACGGGGAAGGAAGUUGAAAGGGAUAAAGAGAUACCACUUAUUAAAUAUGGUAGGAAGUUGCGAUUACAAAGAAAAGUUGAGGGAGAUCAGAAGCCAAGAAUAAGGACCAGAAAAAGAGGAUCAUCUCAGGCGGAGACCAAAGAUGGAUCAACUACAACAGUUGGAUCAAUGAUUGACAUGGAAGCUCCUUUAUCUGGUAAUUCAGGUGCUUUUUGGUCGGAAUCUUCAUUGAUUACAAGCUCUUCAUUGCCAUCGGAUAGUGUAGACCUCAAGACAAAGUCUGAGGAGGUAUCAUCUUCACUAACCAACAUCUUACCAACUGCUGGACACGAGAUUGAACUUAUUUCUUUUGAAGAAGAAGAAGAAGAAGAAGAAGAAAUGAAACCAUCUCUGCGACCUGAAAUUUUUAAGGCCGUGCUUAAUGAAAUUGAAGAAAUUUCCUCCAGUCAUGAAACAGAAUCUGAGACUAGUUUACCAGCAGCAAGUCAAAUUCCUGAAUCACUAAAAACUGUCAACCAAUCAGUUGAACCUCCUAUUGAAGUGGGAGCAUUCAUCUCUCCCCAAAGAGAGAUAAUCUCGGUAGAUACGCUUUCAGUAGCAUCUUCGGAAGAGGAAAUUCUACUUACUGAUGAAGUGGAGACUAAGGGUCCUAGUCAAACUGACGCCAAGACAAAUGUUGAGCACACUGUGUUGAAGAUUUUGGAAUGUUUGAGCAAUGAUACAGUCAGAAGAAUUGGUGUUUAUGGCAUUGAAAGGGUUGGGAAGACGACUGUGCUGAAAGCCUUUAUUGCUCAUCCCCAGAUAAAGGACAUGUUUGAUUUGAUCAUUUGGGUGACAGUAUCAAAAUACUGGAGUAUAAGGAACAUGCAGGAUGAAGUUUUAAGGCAAUUAUCAACAGAUUUCAAGUCUGAAUCUGAAAAUAGAGAAGAAUUGUUCCGAUCUUUGGAAGGCAGGAAGUUUUUGCUUGUUCUGGAUGAUGUCUGGGAGAGUAUAGAUUUAGAAGCAGUCGGUAUUCCUGAUCGUAGCUCGGAAAAUGGCAGUGCGAUAAUACUGGCAACUAGGAAUUUGGAGGUUUGUGAUAACAUGCGUUUCAUAAAUAUGAUCGAAGUUGGAACUCUUUCUAAUGAAGAAGCAUGGAAGCUGUUCUGUGAACAAGUAGGUAGAGUUGUCAACAUACCAGGUAUCCUGCCCUUUGCUCGGGUUAUCGUUGAGAGGUGUGGUGGUCUGCCUCUGCUGGUUAUUGUCACUGGAAGAGCUCUGUCAGGGGAAGAAGAUGUCUUUGCAUGGGAGCAAGCAUUCAAGCAAUUUUCAGGGCCUUGUGGAGAUCUAAGAAACCGAAAUGACGUAAUCCAAUUGUUAAAAUUCAGUUUUGACCGAUUGGAGGUUCAUGACAUUCAGAGUUGCUUCCUUCAUUGUGCUUUUUUUCCUGAAGAUCAAGAGGUUAAUAUUUCUGAAUUUGUUACAUAUUGUAUCGAAGAAGGUUUGAUUGCCGGGAAUACGGCUGAUGCAUAUAAGAGGGGCCAUGAGAUAAUUACUGUUCUCGUACAUGCCUUUUUGUUAGAAACUACUUCCAGUUCUUCCAUCAUAAUGCAUGAUAUGAUGAGAGACUUGGCACUGGCCAUUUUGUUGCAGGAAAAAGGCAGCCAAUUUCUGUUGAGAGCUUACUCAAAACCGGUGAGCCAAGAAAAUCAUUCAUCGCUUAUACUACGUGAAAGCCCCGAGAACAAUAGAUUGUUUAUUCCCGAUGGUUGUCAAUUCAUAUUGAGAGCCGGUUCAAGACUGACCCAACCACCUUCAGUAGAAGAAUGGGGAAAGUCUAGUAUGAUCUUUUUGAUGGACAAUAAUUUGUCCGCUUUACCUGAGAGCCCAAGGUGCCCUGGACUUUUGACACUGUUUCUUCAAAGAAAUUUCAGGCUCAGAGUGAUACCCGUGUCCUUUUUCGACUGCAUGCCUUGUUUGAAAGUGCUAAACUUGUCAAAUACCCGAAUAAAGUCUCUGCCAAGAACAAUUUCAAAACUUGUAAGCCUGGAAACUCUCAUCCUUCGUCAUUGUGAACGCCUUUCUAUGCUUCCCUCUGAUAUUGGAUCCCUCAAACUUCUUCAAGUACUUGAUCUUAGAGGCACUGAGAUCAACUUAUUACCUGAUGAGAUCCGUGAACUAUCCUCUUUGACAUACUUUGAUAUAUGCUUCUAUGGAUCUAUCAACCGAAGUGAGCAUCUUAAAUUGCCACAAGGCUUGAUUUCUAGUGGGAUAAUAUCGAGGCUCAGUACAUUGCAAUCACUCGGGAUUAGGGUGUGCCCAGGAGAUGAGCGGUGGGACAAAUGUGUCAAAUCCAUCAUUUACGAGGUAAGUAAAUUGACGGGGCUAACUUCUCUGUCUUUUUAUUUUCCGGAAGUAGAGCUUCUUGAACUGUUCCUCCAAAAAAGUGCAGCCUGGAUUGAUCAAUGCUUAACCGAGUAUAAUUUUGUGGUUGGCCGUGACAUCAAGCGUAUUGUCUCUCGAGUUCCACAAUACGUGGAGCUUGAUUAUGAUCAAACAAGCCAACGCUUGAGAUUUGUUAACGGUGAGAAGAUACCUGAUGCAAUCGUCAAAGUACUAGCAUAUUGCUCAGCUUUUUAUUUAGAUCAUCACCUGGACGUAAUCAGCAUAUCGAAGUUCGGGAUUGCCAACAUGAAUAAGUUGAAACACUGCAUAGUAAGUGAGUGUCCCACAGUUAAAGCUGUUUUGGACGAUAAGGAAUUUACCGAGGUUGUAUUUCCAUGCCUAGAGCACUUGAAUCUUCACUAUUUGUGGAAUUUGGAAUACAUCUGCAACGACCUUCUUCCUGAAGGAAGCUUCACUAUGCUACGGAUCUUGUAUGUGCACGCAUGUCCAAAGUUGAAGUACGUCUUGAAAAGCUCCAUGCUUCGAUUCUUCUUGAACCUAGAGGAGUUGAUAGUCGAUGAUUGUACAGCAAUCGAGAAGAUCAUACUUGACGAUGAUAUGACCACUGAAUUGAGUCACAUGUCGGAUUCCAGUUUCAAAAGACUAACUCUUCACUACCUUCCCGCAUUAGUAACCAUUCGAGAAGGUGUUUGGCCCUCGUUCGAAUAUAUCAGUGUAUGCAACUGCCCUAAUUUCAAGAAAAUCAAUUUAGAUUCCAAGUCGAAACACACACUGAAGGGGAUUAAAGGUGAGAAGGAUUGGUGGGAUUCAUUAGAAUGGAAAGAACCUUCUCUAAGCAUACAUUUCAACGACUUGUUUACUCUAGUUUCUGAGGAUGAUAUAUGAGGAGAUAGUAUCAAUUGAUGCUAUUUUCAUCGCUUGAGUCAACGAUGUGUAAGAAUAAAAAAAUUUUACCUGCAGAAAAUAAAUCAAGGCUGAAGAGGUCACUCCUUGGGGAGCUUUGAAAUUCCUUGCUGCACAGAGUUUCCGGCAGCAAAUCAGCUCUUCACACUGGCAAACAAAGAGAAAGGCGGAAAUAGCAGUCCAUUGACAACCAGUGCUAUUGGUAUAGCGAAUGCAAACAAUUAGAGGUAGCCUUUUCUGGAACAAUUGCCGAAAAACAGAACUACCAUUGUAGAUAAAACUAUUGCUUCCUUCCCAAUUCCCUCAUGGGUUGCCCGUAAUGUGUUAGAGGAAGUAGACAAACAACCAUGGCAGCAUCACUAACAACACUUGCAUCCGUUGACAGUCGAUUUAUCGGAAUUCCGGAAAGGUAUGGGUCAAGAACUAAUAUUUUUUGUUCUCGAUACAUCUAGACAUGUCGAAGCCCUGAAUUGAGGGUUUAAAGACCGUGUUAUAUUUGGAACUUUCUCUGAUUAUUUUGCCUUCCAUGUAUAUAAUUUGUUGUCAUUUUGAAUUAACUUAAUACAAGGAACAUGUUUUUGUCCAA
Molecule: RNA transcript, 4796 nt
Organism: Gossypium arboreum
Lineage: Eukaryota; Viridiplantae; Streptophyta; Magnoliopsida; Malvales; Malvaceae
Gene name: disease resistance protein At4g27190-like
Exons: 5
Source: RefSeq, a predicted model, not a curated record